CUGAUUUGGACCAAAAACCGACACUGGUGCGCGAGAUGAGUAUUCUAAGGCGCUUGAGAGAACUCAGGAGAAGGAACUCGGCAAAUUGACACCGUAACUUCGGAAGAAGGUGUGCCUUUAGUAGGUGAACCUGUACAAGGGGAGCCCAAUGAGGUUGCAAAAGAUCGGUGGCUGCGACUGUUUAAUAAAAACACAGCACUCUGCAAACACGAAAGUGGACGUAUAGGGUGUGACGCCUGCCCGGUGCUGGAAGAUUAAAUGAUGGGGUGCAAGCUCUUGAUUGAAGUCCCAGUAAACGGCGGCCGUAACGAUAACGGUCCUAAGGUAGCGAAAUUCCUUGUCGGGUAAGUUCCGACCUGCACGAAUGGCGUAACGAUGGCCACACUGUCUCCUCCUGAGACUCAGCGAAGUUGAAAUGUUUGUGAUGAUGCAAUCUCCCCGCGGAAAGACGGAAAGACCCCAUGAACCUCUACUGUAGCUUUGUAUUGGACUUUGAACAGAUCUGUGUAGGAUAGGUGGGAGGCUUUGAAGUGUGGUCGCUAGAUCGCAUGGAGCCAACGUUGAAAUACCACCCUGGUGUGUUUGAGGUUCUAACCUAGGCCCGUAAUCCGGGUCGGGGACAGUGCAUGGUAGGCAGUUUGACUGGGGCGGUCUCCUCCCAAAGCGUAACGGAGGAGUCCGAAGGUACGCUAGGUACGGUCGGACAUCGUGCUAAUAGUGCAAUGGCAUAAGCGUGCUUAACUGCGAGACUGACAAGUCGAGCAGAUGCGAAAGCAGGACAUAGUGAUCCGGUGGUUCUGUAUGGAAGGGCCAUCGCUCAACGGAUAAAAGGUACUCUGGGGAUAACAGGCUGAUACCGCCCAAGAGUUCAUAUCGACGGCGGUGUUUGGCACCUCGAUGUCGGCUCAUCUCAUCCUGGGGCUGUAGCCGGUCCCAAGGGUAUGGCUGUUCGCCAUUUAAAGAGGUACGUGAGCUGGGUUUAAAACGUCGUGAGACAGUUUGGUCCCUAUCUUCCGUGGGCGCUGCAGAUUUGAGGAAGCCUGCUCCUAGUACGAGAGGACCGGAGUGGACACACCUCUGGUGUAUCGGUUGUCACGCCAGUGGCAUUGCCGAGUAGCUAUGUGUGGAAGAGAUAACCGCUGAAAGCAUCUAAGCGGGAAACUCGUUUCAAGAUGAGAUCUGCCGGGGCCUUGAGCCCCCUAAAGAGUCGUUCAAGACCAGGACGUUGAUAGGUCGGGUGUGGAAGCGCAGUAAUGCGUUAAGCUAACCGAUACUAAUUGCUCGUGCGGCUUGACCU
RNAcentral lists this ribosomal RNA (1297 nucleotides) under metagenome. Its description in RNAcentral is "bacterial LSU rRNA". It matches the Rfam family "Bacterial large subunit ribosomal RNA", at positions 1637 to 2925 of the family's 2925-position model. The record is from RNAcentral.